AUAUGUACGUCAUAGAGGGUGACAACCCCGUCUGGCUAACCGUUCUCCAUGUAUUGCCUUAUCAAAGAGUCGAGUUGUUGGGAAUGCAGCUCAAAGUGGGUGGUAAACUCCAUCUAAAGCUAAAUACUGGUGAGAGACCGAUAGCGAACAAGUACUGUGAAGGAAAGGUGAACACAGAACUUUGAAAAGAGAGUGAAAUAGUAUGUGAAAUUGUUGAUACCGGAAGGAAAUGAGUGGAGAGUGGUUUACGGUUUCAGCCUUCUUUCGAGGGGGUGUACUACCAACGCCGAGUCAUUGUCAGCGAGACAGGGGUUAUAA
Molecule: ribosomal RNA, 318 nt
Filed under: [Candida] sp. UFMGCB L55
Lineage: Eukaryota; Fungi; Ascomycota; Saccharomycetes; Saccharomycetales
Description: Candida sp. UFMGCB L55 partial 26S ribosomal RNA
Rfam family: Eukaryotic large subunit ribosomal RNA
Source: RNAcentral